This 237-nucleotide long non-coding RNA is filed under the name Helianthus annuus (common sunflower). RNAcentral describes it as "sRNA HanXRQr2_Chr03g0097281". Lineage: Eukaryota; Viridiplantae; Streptophyta; Magnoliopsida; Asterales; Asteraceae. The record is from RNAcentral.
GUAUUCCAUUCUGUUAAACUAUAUAUUUAAUUACCAAGAAUACUCCCAACUACACCCUUACAAUCAAACAAACUAUUAAAUCAUCAGAAGAUCCAGAAUAAUAAAGUGCAUGCUUAAUUAUCGGAAGAAAUAGAAUCAAGAAGUUUGUUAACUCAAUCAUGCAUGCUGAUUUGUAAUUACAGUAUAUUGGAGUAAAGAUUGGAUCCAGCACUAAAAGACUUCAAGAAGUGGCUUAUU